GGAAGGAUCAUUACCGUGCCUGCGGUCUGUUGGCGGCCUCUCCGGGGGUUUGUUAGCGCCGCAUUUGGCCCAACCGUGUCUAUCUGUACCUGUUGCUUCGGCGAGCCUGCGAGUGCUCGCUGCCGGAGGCCUAGAGCCUCGGGCUUGUGCUCGCCGAAGACACCUGAAACUCCUGUUAAUAUUAGCGGUCUGAAUGGGUUUUAUAAAUUGUUAAAACUUUCAACAACGGAUCUCUUGGUUCCGGCAUCGAUGAAGAACGCAGCGAAAUGCGAUAAGUAAUGUGAAUUGCAGAAUUCCGUGAAUCAUCGAAUCUUUGAACGCACAUUGCGCUCCCUGGUAUUCCGGGGAGCAUGCCUGUCCGAGCGUCAUUGCAACCCCUUCAAGCCCGGCUUGUGUGUUGGGCGUCGUCCCCGCUGGACGCGCUCGAAAGGCAGUGGCGGUUCCGUGCUUCGGUGCCCGAGCGUAUGGGGCUUUGUCACCCGCUCUGGAGGCCCGACCGGCGACCAGCCCGCUAGAGGCUUAACUGGACUCCGGUUAAGGCUUUAACUAAACUUUUCGUGGUUGACCUCGGAUCAGGUAGGGAUACCCGCUGAACUUAAGCAUAUCAAUAAGCGGAGGAAAAGAAACCAACAGGGAUUGCCCCAGUAACGGCGAGUGAAGCGGCAAGAGCUCAAAUUUGAAAUCUGGCGCCCUCUGGGUGCCCGAGUUGUAAUUUGCAGAGGAUGCUUCGGGGGUGGUCGCCGCCUAAGUCCCCUGGAACGGGGCGUCAUAGAGGGUGAGAAUCCCGUCUUUGGUGGGCCGGCUGCUCCCGGGUGAAGCUCCUUCGACGAGUCGAGUUGUUUGGGAAUGCAGCUCUAAGUGGGUGGUAAAUUUCAUCUAAAGCUAAAUAUUGGCUGGAGACCGAUAGCGCACAAGUAGAGUGAUCGAAAGACGAAAAGUACUUUGAAAAGAGAGUUAAACAGCACGUGAAAUUGUUGAAAGGGAAGCGCUGGCCGCCAGAUUCGGUCUCUAGGGCUCAGCGGGCAUGCUCUGCCUGUGCACUCCCUGGAGAUUGGGUCAGCAUCGGUUUGGGCGGUCGGUCAAAGGCCUCCGGAAUGUGUCGCCCUUCGGGGCGUCUUAUAGCCGGAGGUGCAAUGCGGCCUGCCUGGAUCGAGGAACGCGCUUCGGCACGGAUGCUGGCAUAAUGGCGGUCAGCGGCCCGUCUUGAAACACGGACCAAGGAGUCUAACAUCCACGCGAGUGUUCGGGUGUCAAACCCGUCCGCGCAGUGAAAGCGAACGGAGGUGGGAGCCUGUUUUAGGGUGCACCAUCGACCGAUCCUGAAGUCUUCGGAUGGAUUUGAGUAAGAGCGUGGCUGUGGGGACCCGAAAGAUGGUGAACUAUGCCUGAAUAGGGUGAAGCCAGAGGAAACUCUGGUGGAGGCUCGCAGCGGUUCUGACGUGCAAAUCGAUCGUCAAAUUUGGGCAUAGGGGCGAAAGACUAAUCGAACCAUCUGGUAGCUGGUUCCUGC
RNAcentral lists this unclassified non-coding RNA (1510 nucleotides) under uncultured fungus. Its description in RNAcentral is "sequence contains 18S rRNA gene, ITS1, 5.8S rRNA gene, ITS2, 28S rRNA gene". The stretch from base 563 to 1510 matches the Rfam family "Eukaryotic large subunit ribosomal RNA", at positions 1 to 961 of the family's 3401-position model. The record is from RNAcentral. Lineage: Eukaryota; Fungi.